UGGGGAAUUUUGGACAAUGGGCGCAAGCCUGAUCCAGCAAUGCCGCGUGCAGGAAGAAGGCCUUCGGGUUGUAAACUGCUUUUGUACGGAACGAAACGGUCUGGGUUAAUACCCUGGGCUAAUGACGGUACCGUAAGAAUAAGCACCGGCUAACUACGUGCCAGCAGCCGCGGUAAUACGUAGGGUGCAAGCGUUAAUCGGAAUUACUGGGCGUAAAGCGUGCGCAGGCGGUUUUGUAAGACAGGCGUGAAAUCCCCGGGCUCAACCUGGGAAUGGCGCUUGUGACUGCAAAGCUGGAGUGCGGCAGAGGGGGAUGGAAUUCCGCGUGUAGCAGUGAAAUGCGUAGAUAUGCGGAGGAACACCGAUGGCGAAGGCAAUCCCCUGGGCCUGCACUGACGCUCAUGCACGAAAGCGUGGGGAGCAAACA
This 427-nucleotide ribosomal RNA is filed under the name Microvirga ossetica. Its description in RNAcentral is "partial 16S ribosomal RNA". It matches the Rfam family "Bacterial small subunit ribosomal RNA", at positions 355 to 774 of the family's 1533-position model. RNAcentral also lists the same sequence under 1 other name. Lineage: Bacteria; Pseudomonadati; Pseudomonadota; Alphaproteobacteria; Hyphomicrobiales; Methylobacteriaceae. The record is from RNAcentral.